GCCCGGGAAAUGAAGAAAGACAAGGGAAGCUCUGAGACCUGCGUUGACCGCACGGGAACUUGCGUGCACCACAGCAUUGCCUGAGCCAGUUGUGCAGAGUCCAGCCCGACGGAGCGUUGGGGCGCUGGAGAUGGAACCAGAGUCUUUCACACGUAAGGCAAGAGAGAGCACUGCACCACGCAGUUUCACCCCAGCCCUCUUCCUGCUGUGUUUGGAGGCCCAGCUCAGAGAGUGGUCCAGGGUAGCAAAGCACUCACUCUGUAGCCCAGGCAGCCUUCAAACCUGCGACCCUCUGGGACCCCGAGUCUGAACCACCCGGUUUUAAUAUCUCCCACUUUCUUUUAACUGUUAUGUAACCUCCCUCUAGUGAAGUACAUCCGUCUUUUCAACGA
Molecule: long non-coding RNA, 392 nt
Organism: Mesocricetus auratus (golden hamster)
Lineage: Eukaryota; Metazoa; Chordata; Mammalia; Rodentia; Cricetidae
Exons: 2
Source: RefSeq, a predicted model, not a curated record